Molecule: ribosomal RNA, 506 nt
Filed under: uncultured bacterium
Lineage: Bacteria
Description: partial 16S ribosomal RNA
Rfam family: Bacterial small subunit ribosomal RNA
Source: RNAcentral
AGGACGAACGCUGGCGGCGUGCCUAACACAUGCAAGUCGAGCGGGGUCCAUCCAGUGGCAACACUGGGGAAGACCUAGCGGCGAACGGGUGAGUAACACGUGAGAAACCUGCCCUGAAGUCUGGGAUAACCCGAGGAAACUCGAGCUAAUACCGGAUGCCCCCACCGAGUCGCAUGGCUUGGUGAGGAAAGAUUCAUCGCUUCAGGAGGGUCUCGCGGCCUAUCAGCUAGUUGCGGGGUAACGGCCCACCAAGGCAUCGACGGGUAGCUGGUCUGAGAGGACCGAUCCAGCCACACUGGGACUGAGACACGGCCCAGACUCCUACGGGAGGCAGCAGUGGGGAAUAUUGCGCAAUGGGCGAAAGCCUGCGCAAAAAAAAAAAAAAAAAAAAAAAAAAAAAAACCCCGCAACGCCGCGUGCGGGAUGACGGCCUUCGGGUUGUAAACCGCUUUCAGUGGGGACGAAAACAGACGGUACCCACAGAAGAAGCCCCGGCCAACUACGUG